AGGAAGUUUUGAUACAUAAUCAAAUGUUUUAGCCGUCUUUGAUUAUCACUUAAACUUCCAAGAGCAAAAAUUUAGCUUUAUGAUGACUGUGAGUGUUCAAGUCUUAAUUCACAGACAGAUACGAAGCAGACAAUA
Chrysoperla carnea is the source of this 135-nucleotide non-coding RNA. RefSeq annotates it as small Cajal body-specific RNA 8. The record is from RefSeq and is a predicted model, not a curated record. The transcript has a single exon. Lineage: Eukaryota; Metazoa; Arthropoda; Insecta; Neuroptera; Chrysopidae.